Molecule: ribosomal RNA, 465 nt
Filed under: uncultured bacterium
Lineage: Bacteria
Description: bacterial SSU rRNA
Rfam family: Bacterial small subunit ribosomal RNA
Source: RNAcentral
CCUACGGGAUGCACCAGUGGGGAAUAUUGCACAAUGGGCGCAAGCCUGAUGCAGCCAUGCCGCGUGUAUGAAGAAGGCCUUCGGGUUGUAAAGUACUUUCAGUGGGGAGGAAGGCGAUAAGGUUAACAACCUUGUCGAUUGACGUUACCCGCAGAAGAAGCACCGGCUAACUCCGUGCCAGCAGCCGCGGUAAUACGGAGGGUGCAAGCGUUAAUCGGAAUUACUGGGCGUAAAGCGCACGCAGUCGGUCUGUCAAGUCGGAUGUGAAAUCCCCGGGCUCAACCUGGGAACUGCAUUCGGAACUGGCAGGCUAGAGUCUUGUAGAGGGGGGUAGAAUUCCAGGUGUAGCGGUGAAAUGCGUAGAGAUCUGGAGGAAUACCGGUGGCGAAGGCGGCCCCCUGGACAAAGACUGACGCUCAGGUGCGAAAGCGUGGGGAGCAAGCAGGAUUAGAUACCCCCGUAGUC